GUCAAAAAUGACUCCCGGCAACGGAUAUCUCGGCUCUUGCAUCGAUGAAGAACGUAGCGAAAUGCGAUACUUGGUGUGAAUUGCAGAAUCCCGUGAACCAUCGAGUCUUUGAACGCAAGUUGCGCCCGAGGCCACUAGGCUAAGGGCAUGCCUUCCUGGGUGUCACCUU
RNAcentral lists this ribosomal RNA (169 nucleotides) under Kotschya africana. RNAcentral's name for it is "5.8S ribosomal RNA". It matches the Rfam family "5.8S ribosomal RNA". From Rfam's summary of the family: 5.8S ribosomal RNA (5.8S rRNA) is a component of the large subunit of the eukaryotic ribosome. It is transcribed by RNA polymerase I as part of the 45S precursor that also contains 18S and 28S rRNA. Functionally, it is thought that 5.8S rRNA may be involved in ribosome translocation. The record is from RNAcentral. Lineage: Eukaryota; Viridiplantae; Streptophyta; Magnoliopsida; Fabales; Fabaceae.